AAUAAGCACUAGACCUUUGGGCCUCCAAUGAUUAUUAAACUAAUAGACUCAUUAUCACUCACUUAAUGGGAGGCUACGACUUAGUUAUCAAUAUAAUUUAAUCAUUUUUAGGGACCUAAUAAUUUUUGAGGAUUUUAUUAAAGGAUAGAUGAGAAGAAAAUAUCCAGCUAAUUUCAAUCCUCCCACUGACUUCACCAAGUCAGAUUAAAAAAAGUUUAAUUAAAGCUGGCAUUAGGAGCACCUAAAUUAGUCAAACUGAUUUACCUAAUGACAUGGGUGAGCCCUAAUCACCAAGUGAUCUAAUCAAAACCUAAUUCACCAGGUUGGCCAGGUAAGUGAGAUCAGUGGUGGGGAUAAGCCAUUAACUCGUUAGAGAUCGAAUCACUGCGAGUAGCUCCCGCUUAAAAACCACUGGUCAAAAUGCCAAACUUACCUUAGACACCA
RNAcentral lists this long non-coding RNA (444 nucleotides) under Elaeis guineensis (African oil palm). RNAcentral describes it as "long non-coding RNA (EGUI_LNC078385)". The record is from RNAcentral. Lineage: Eukaryota; Viridiplantae; Streptophyta; Magnoliopsida; Arecales; Arecaceae.